AAAAGUUCAGCAGACAGGUGCUCUGCUUUGGAGUGUGACGAUGUCGUCGGUGAUGUGGAGAGUGAAGUUUCCGUUUCACCCACAGCGUGCUUUAGGGCGCCGGGGUCGGACUUGAUGUUUGAAAUACUGAUCGACAGCUCAGAUUUAACUAGUGAAAGUAGCAGUUCCUCCUUAAGGUCAGAGAUUGCAGCAUCUGAGGGCCUCUUCAAAAGAAGACGUAGUUGAUGAAGGCGUUCUGGAGCAGGACCAGAAAGACCA
Long non-coding RNA from Amphiprion ocellaris (clown anemonefish), 258 nucleotides. The record is from Ensembl. Lineage: Eukaryota; Metazoa; Chordata; Actinopteri; Pomacentridae.